CCUACGGGAGGCAGCAGUGAGGAAUAUUGGUCAAUGGCCGAGAGGCUGAACCAGCCAAGUCGCGUGAGGGAAGACGGCCCUACGGGUUGUAAACCUCUUUUGUCGGGGAGCAAAAGACGCCACGCGUGGCGUUCCGCGAGUACCCGAAGAAAAAGCAUCGGCUAACUCCGGGCCAGCAGCCGCGGUAAUACGGAGGAUGCGAGCGUUAUCCGGAUUUAUUGGGUUUAAAGGGUGCGCAGGCGGAAGAUCAAGUCAGCGGUAAAAUUGAGAGGCUCAACCUCUUCGAGCCGUUGAAACUGGUUUUCUUGAGUGAGUGAGAAGUAUGCGGAAUGCGUGGUGUAGCGGUGAAAUGCAUAGAUAUCACGCAGAACUCCGAUUGCGAAGGCAGCAUACCGGCGCUCAACUGACGCUCAUGCACGAAAGUGUGGGUAUCGAACAGGAUUAGAUACCCGGGUAGUC
RNAcentral lists this ribosomal RNA (459 nucleotides) under uncultured bacterium. RNAcentral's name for it is "partial 16S ribosomal RNA". It matches the Rfam family "Bacterial small subunit ribosomal RNA", at positions 338 to 795 of the family's 1533-position model. The record is from RNAcentral.